GGAGAGGUUCCCGAGCGGCCAAAGGGAACAGACUGUAAAUCUGUCGUCAGCAGACUUCGGAGGUUCGAAUCCUCCCCUCUCCACCA
This 86-nucleotide transfer RNA is filed under the name Candidatus Cloacimonadota bacterium. RNAcentral describes it as "tRNA-Tyr". It matches the Rfam family "tRNA". Rfam says of the family: Transfer RNA (tRNA) molecules are approximately 80 nucleotides in length. Their secondary structure includes four short double-helical elements and three loops (D, anti-codon, and T loops). The record is from RNAcentral. Lineage: Bacteria; Pseudomonadati; Candidatus Cloacimonadota.